RNAcentral lists this ribosomal RNA (471 nucleotides) under Triticum aestivum (bread wheat). RNAcentral's name for it is "partial small subunit ribosomal RNA". Lineage: Eukaryota; Viridiplantae; Streptophyta; Magnoliopsida; Poales; Poaceae. The record is from RNAcentral.
AUGGCAAGGUGUGUUUGGGCCUUGGAGGACGAUGAUCUGGUUGAGCAUGUGGGCGAGGCUGCAAAGUUUAACUGUGAUGGUGGCUUGUCAACCCUAGGAGACAAAGGUGCAGCGGGAGUGGUGUGUCGUGACAAGACGGACCCGGCAAGUCUUGAGGCGCAUGCAUGUAGCGAAGCACUAGCCCUAGCCCAGGACUUGAAUAUGCAAGAUCUUGUCAUUGCUUCAGAUAGUGCAGAAGUUAUCGCUAAUAUCAAAUCUGCAGCAUCCCCACCUUAUGCUCCUAUUCUUAGAGAGAUUCGAGUUAGUAGCAACAAUUUUUCUUCUGUUGUUUCUUGUUUUGAAAGUAGAUGCAAUAAUUUUGAGGCCCACAUGCUAGUUAAGGGAGCUGCGUCUCUUGCGGUGGGCCGUCAUGUGUUGCUAGGGGUUUUACCAGAUAUUGCCUGUAUUCCAGAGGCCGUGAACAUUGAAUAA